This 2254-nucleotide long non-coding RNA is filed under the name Mus musculus (house mouse). Its description in RNAcentral is "long non-coding RNA chr4:136530586-136532840". The record is from RNAcentral. Lineage: Eukaryota; Metazoa; Chordata; Mammalia; Rodentia; Muridae.
UGAAUCUUGUCAGGGUUGUAACUUCAUUGGCAUCUGUAAAUAUAUAAACUCUCACAAGUAAUACAUAGUUCUGUGUUAACAUAUUUAUGGAAUGUGCAAGGUGCACAAAUUAGUUAAUGAAGAUUCUUUGUUCUUGUUUGAGCAGAUGAAAGACAUUAGUCUUUCUUUAUAAGUUGGCAUGAUAGUCCUGAGGACUUUGUAGCCAAAGGAUUAUUGGCUAAGCAAGCCGAAGUUCUGGCUGGAGACGUUUUUAUGUCUUAGCCAAUCUCAGAGCUGUUUGCAUAUGGAGGGAUCAGCAAAUUAUGUUACCCGUCCUGUUUGAUUUUCUUGAUUUCUUUCUUCCUGUCUGCAGCCAAGAUCUUCAGGAAUGCUCCCUGGUCAUAUCUGAUUAUUAUCAAUUUGGAUGGAAUCCAUAGUUUUUCUUCUACUCUGGAGACAUGGGCAUACCCUCUUUUUUCCCCUCCAUUUAUUUAUUUAUUUAUUUAUUUAUUUAUUUAUUUAUUUAUUUAUUUAUUUAUUCACUCACUCACUUAUUAUUGCAUUUAUUGAUUGGUUUUUCGAGACAGGGUUUCUCUGUAUAGCCCUGGCUGCCCUGGAACUCACUUUGUAGACCAUGCUGGCCUCGAACUCAGAAAUAUGCCUGCCUCUGCCUCCUGAGUGCUGGAAUUAAAGUGUGCCACCACGCCUGGCUCUUACCCUCCAUUUAGAUGUUAAGACAUCCCUAAUAUAUACAGGCUGAUUUAGUUCAGUUUUUCCUCAUAGUUCAUUGUCUCUAAGCAGUUGAUUUUAUUCAUUAGCAUUCAAGAGUUUUUAAGGUCAAUAAAGCAUUAUGUAAUUUAUUAUUGAAGGUCUUUGUUACCCCUUUGUUUGUUAAGCAUUUCUUUUAAAGUAUGAUUGGAUCUCUGUACAACUGCUUGUCCCAUAGAAUUAUGUGGUAUAUCUGUAAUAUGCUUUAUAUUGAAAUAUGUAAAAAAUGUUUCAUUUUACUAGGGACACAUGCUAGAGCAUUGUCAAUCUUAAUUUGUACAGGUAUUCCCAUAAUUGCCAUACCGUCUAGUAGAUGUGUAAUUACCAAAUCAGCCUUUUCAGAAGUUAAAGCAGUUGCCCAUUGAAAUCUUGAAUAUUUAUCUAUGGUAUGGUGCACAUAUUUUAAUUUUGCAAGCUCUGCAAAAUAAAAUAUAUCCAUUUGCCAAAUUUUAUUUCUCUGGGUACCUUUUAGGUUACUCCCAGCAGGUAAUGAAGUGGUUAUAUAAAGAACAAGUAUAGGACAUUUUUUUAUAUAUAUAAUUUCCUUGACUAGUUGCUAAAUGAUAGAAAACCUUUGUUGUUCACAUGGUAGUUUUUAAUGAAAUACUGAGGCUUCUAGUACAUUUCUUAUUAAUAGUUGAUCAGUUUUAGCAUUACCUUGUGCUAGAAGACCUGGUAGACCCAUAUGGGAUCUGAUAGUGUUACACACAGUGGAUGAUUUCCAUUUCUGAUUACUUGUUGUAUUUGAAAUUAAUUCUGAAUCAUCCUGAAUUAAUUCAGCAGGUUUUAUAUACAGACAACUCUUUCUGCAUAUUGAGACUUAGUAACUAACUAUAUUAAGAGACUCUGAAAAGUCUAAUAAUACUGUAAGAAUUGUGUAUAACUCUGAUUUUUUUAACUGGAUCAUAAGGACUCUCAACCACUUUACUAUUUUUUUCCUGAUUUAUAACCUACAUUUUCAGAUUUUUUUUGCAUCAAUAGAGAAUGUAGGGCCUCUAGAAAUUGGUGUUUCUUUUAUUAUACAAGGGAGAAUCCAAUUAGUUUUUAUAAAUUGAAGUCUCUUGCUUUUGGGUAUUUGUUGUUAAUAUCCUCCCCCACAUUACUUCAAACUCUUUGCCAAUGUUCAUCUUGUGCCCAUAAUGAGGUAAUAUCAAUAUUAUUAGUAAAACGUAUCAAAAUCUCAGAUGCUUUUAUUCCAGCUAAUUGACAAAGUCUCGUUUUUCCUUUUAGAAUAAAUGCAGAAACCUUUUCUAUAUGUUUUUAAUUUUUUAUUCCAUUUGUGAGCUAAUAAUAUCCAUUCUAAGAUAUAAUUGCUCUGCAUAAGAAUUCCUAUGGGAGGGCGGUGGUGGUGCACGCCUUUAAUCCCAGCACUUGGGAGGCAGAGGCAGGUGGAUUUCUGAGUUCGAGGCCAGCCUGGUCUACAAAAGUGAGUUCCAGGACAGCCAGGACGAUACAGAGAAAUCCUGUCUCAACCCCCUCCCCCCCCAAAAAAAAAUCCAAAAAAUCC